GUUUCAUCUUUUCAGAGGCUAACGUUGGCUCUCAACUCUACAAAAAGAGCACAGCACAAAAGCCAGUCUUUAAAAGGACCCUGCGUAUCGCAGGUAGCAAAGAGGAAGGCAGCAUUCACCAGCAUUGUUGCCAUGGCUACAAAUUGCAAUCUCUAUCUUCCACACAGAGGGUAUGGAACGUGGGAGAAGGCCAAAGAGCUCCUUGGGAAGCCACCGGUGUCUGCCCAAAGCCCACAGCAGAGACUCAGCCCGGAGCUGUUUCUGCUCAGCCCAGUCACGUUUACUCGACAUUUUUGGAACUGUCCGCCUUGUGUAGAUGCAAUACUGACAGAGAGAGCAGCCUCUUUCACAGCUACCCAACUUAAAAUACAGCACUUACCCCUGCUUCCCUAUGGACUGCCAUUUUAAGCUAAUUAUAUACUGGGAGCUUUAUUUCCUGAAAAUGUACAUUGCCUUACUGAGAGCACCUGUGUACACCUGGAAUGAGACAGUAGCUAAUGAUUUAUGUGGGACAGUAACAACGGCUGCUUUUGCUGGAACCAUGCCAUAACUUAGUGUCUGCUGCUCUGCCCUGCUGGGUCAAGACAACACAUCCGUCACGUAAAUCACUUAAGUAAAUUAUUGAGAACUUAAA
Molecule: long non-coding RNA, 634 nt
Organism: Gallus gallus (chicken)
Lineage: Eukaryota; Metazoa; Chordata; Aves; Galliformes; Phasianidae
Exons: 2
Source: RefSeq, a predicted model, not a curated record